This 903-nucleotide ribosomal RNA is filed under the name Tridacna maxima. Its description in RNAcentral is "bacterial SSU rRNA". The stretch from base 1 to 729 matches the Rfam family "Eukaryotic small subunit ribosomal RNA", at positions 1124 to 1831 of the family's 1831-position model. Lineage: Eukaryota; Metazoa; Mollusca; Bivalvia; Cardiida; Cardiidae. The record is from RNAcentral.
UACGGUUGCAAAGCUGAAACUUAAAGGAAUUGACGGAAGGGCACCACCAGGAGUGGAGCCUGUGGCUUAAUUUGACUCAACACGGGAAACCUCACCCGGUCCGGACACUGGAAGGAUUGACAGACUAAAGCUCUUUCUUGAUUCAGUGGGUGGUGGUGCAUGGCCGUUCUUAGUUGGUGGAGUGAUUUGUCUGGUUAAUUCCGAUAACGAACGAGACUCUCGCCUGCUAAAUAGUUUUCCAUACGUUACUUUAUGGAACCUAAAACUUCUUAGAGGUACAAGUGGCGUUUAGCCACACGAAACAGAGCAAUAACAGGUCUGUGAUGCCCUUAGAUGUCCGGGGCCGCACAUGUGCUACAAUGAAUGCAUCAACGUGUAUCAGCCUCGCCCGAAAGGGUUGGGGAAUCCGCUGAACGGCAUUCUCAGUAGGGAUUGGGGAUUGCAAUUAUUUCCCAUGAACACGGAAUUCCCAGUAGGCGCCAGUCAUCAGCUGGCGUCGAUUGAGUCCCUGCCCUUUGUACACACCGCCCGUCGCUACUACCGAUCGCUCUUGUUAAUGAGCUUGUCGGAUUGGACCCGGUGAGCAGUCGUUGCGCUUCAUCUCCUCGCGGGGUGGGCCUUCGUCUGCGAGCUUUUGGUGUAUGCCGAGAAGAUCGGCAAAUUAUCUGGAGUAGAGGAAGUAAAAGUCGUAACAAGGUAUCCGUAGGUGAACCUGCGGAUGNNNNNNNNNNAAUAGAUACGAUAGGUGGAUGUCCGCGAGGGUUGCUUCUCGGUAGAAAGAUACAUACAAAAAGUAAAAGAGAAGCCGCCGAGUGGCGAGUUGUUGAAAGUAGCCCAGCGAAACAACGGAACAAACCCUCGGAAUAAGAAAGAAAAAGACGUGCUGUACGAAAAAGUGCAACG